Molecule: non-coding RNA, 114 nt
Organism: Acanthosepion pharaonis
Lineage: Eukaryota; Metazoa; Mollusca; Cephalopoda; Sepiida; Sepiidae
Source: the annotation of a GenBank genome assembly
UUACGACUAUAUCACGUUGAAACGUUGGUUUUCGUACGAUCAUGGAAGUUAAGAAACGUCGAGCCUGGCCAGUACCUAGAUGAGUGACCGUUUGGCAAUACCAGGUGCUGUAAG